CCUACGGGUGGCAGCAGUGAGGAAUAUUGGUCAAUGGGCGCGAGCCUGAACCAGCCAAGUCGCGUGAGGGAAGACGGUCCUAUGGAUUGUAAACCUCUUUUGUCGGGGAGCAAAAGACGCCACGCGUGGCGUUCCGAGAGUACCCGAAGAAAAAGCCCCGGCUAACUACGUGCCAGCAGCCGCGGUAAUACGUAGGGGGCAAGCGUUAUCCGGAUUUACUGGGGGUAAAGGGGGCGCAGGCGGGAAUGCAAGCCAGGAGUGAAAGCCCGGGGCCCAACCCCGGGACUGCCCUUGGAACUGGAUGGCUGGAGUACAGGAGGGGCAGGCGGAAUGCGUAGUGUAGCGGUGAAAUGCGUAGAUAUUAGGAGGAACACCGGUGGCGAAGGCGGCCUGCUGGACUGUGACUGACGUUGAGGCCCGAAGGCGUGGGGAGCAAACAGGAUUAGAUACCCCAGUAGUC
This 460-nucleotide ribosomal RNA is filed under the name uncultured bacterium. Its description in RNAcentral is "partial 16S ribosomal RNA". It matches the Rfam family "Bacterial small subunit ribosomal RNA", at positions 338 to 795 of the family's 1533-position model. The record is from RNAcentral.